UACGUAGGGCGCAAGCGUUAUCCGGAAUUAUUGGGCGUAAAGAGCUCGUAGGCGGUUUGUCGCGUCUGCUGUGAAAACGCGGGGCUCAACUCCGCGCCUGCAGUGGGUACGGGCAGACUAGAGUGCAGUAGGGGAGACUGGAAUUCCUGGUGUAGCGGUGGAAUGCGCAGAUAUCAGGAGGAACACCAAUGGCGAAGGCAGAUCUCUGGGCCGUAACUGACGCUGAGGAGCGAAAGCAUGGGGAGCGAACAGG
This 253-nucleotide ribosomal RNA is filed under the name uncultured bacterium. Its description in RNAcentral is "partial 16S ribosomal RNA". It matches the Rfam family "Bacterial small subunit ribosomal RNA", at positions 524 to 776 of the family's 1533-position model. The record is from RNAcentral.